GAUGAACGCUGGCGGCGUGCCUAAUACAUGCAAGUCGAGCGAACGGACGAGGCGCUUGCUGCUCUGAUGUUAGCGGCGGACGGGUGAGUAACGCGUGGAUAACCUACCUAUAAGACUGGGAUAACUUCGGGAAACCGGAUCUAAUAGCGGAUGAUAUUUUGAACCGCAUGGUUCAAUAGUAAAAUACGGUGUUGGUGUCACUUAUAGAUGGAUCCGCGCUGCAUUAGCUGGUUGGUAAGGUAACGGCUUACCAAGGCAACGAUGCAUAGCCGACGUGAGAGGGUGAUAGGCCACACUGGAACUGAGACACGGUCCAGACUCCUACGGGAGGCCGCAGUAGGGAAUCUUCCGCAAUGGGCGAAAGCCUGACGGAGCAACGCCGCGUGAGUGAUGAAGGUCUUCGGAUCGUAAAACUCUGUUAUUAGGGAAGAACAGAUGUGUAAGUAACUGUGCACAUCGUGACGGUACCUAAUCAGAAAGCCACGGCUAACUACGUG
Molecule: ribosomal RNA, 497 nt
Filed under: uncultured bacterium
Lineage: Bacteria
Description: partial 16S ribosomal RNA
Rfam family: Bacterial small subunit ribosomal RNA
Source: RNAcentral